Molecule: transfer RNA, 76 nt
Filed under: Burkholderia territorii
Lineage: Bacteria; Pseudomonadati; Pseudomonadota; Betaproteobacteria; Burkholderiales; Burkholderiaceae
Description: tRNA-Arg
Rfam family: tRNA
About the family: Transfer RNA (tRNA) molecules are approximately 80 nucleotides in length. Their secondary structure includes four short double-helical elements and three loops (D, anti-codon, and T loops). Further hydrogen bonds mediate the characteristic L-shaped molecular structure. tRNAs have two regions of fundamental functional importance: the anti-codon, which is responsible for specific mRNA codon recognition, and the 3' end, to which the tRNAs corresponding amino acid is attached (by aminoacyl-tRNA synthetases). tRNAs cope with the degeneracy of the genetic code in two manners: having more than one tRNA (with a specific anti-codon) for a particular amino acid; and 'wobble' base-pairing, i.e. permitting non-standard base-pairing at the 3rd anti-codon position.
Source: RNAcentral
GCGUGCGUAGCUCAGUGGAUAGAGCGACCGUUUUCUAAACGGUGGGCCGCAGGUUCGAUUCCUGCCGCAUGCAUCA